CUGACCGUGCAAGGUAGCAUAAUAAUUUGCCCAUUAAUUGUGGGAUAGAAUGAAUGGAGAAACGUAAUAUUUACUAUAUAAUUAUUAUAAAAUUAAUCUAGCAUCUAAAUGAAGAGAUUUAGAUUAAAAUAAAAGACAAGAAGACCCUAUAGAGCUUUAAUUAAUCUUAUAUAUAAUAUAAAAAAAUUUAGGUUGGGGCGACCUAGGAUAAAUCAUCCUAAAUAAAUCAGAUCUACCAAUCAAAACAAAGAUCCUAUAAAAUAGACUUAGAAUUAAGCUACCUUAGGGAUAACAGGCUAAUCUUAUUAAAGAGUUCAUAUCUACAAUA
This 328-nucleotide ribosomal RNA is filed under the name Marionina sublitoralis. RNAcentral describes it as "partial 16S ribosomal RNA". The record is from RNAcentral. Lineage: Eukaryota; Metazoa; Annelida; Clitellata; Enchytraeida; Enchytraeidae.